This 389-nucleotide ribosomal RNA is filed under the name uncultured bacterium. RNAcentral's name for it is "bacterial SSU rRNA". It matches the Rfam family "Bacterial small subunit ribosomal RNA", at positions 30 to 419 of the family's 1533-position model. The record is from RNAcentral.
AUUGAACGCUGGCGGCGUGCUUAACACAUGCAAGUCGUGCGGUAACAGGCGUAGCAAUACGUGCUGACGAGCGGCGAACGGGUGCGUAAUACAUGGGAAUCUGCCCUUUAGUGGGGAAUAACCCGGCGAAAGCCGGGCUAAUGCCGCAUAAGAUCUUCGGAUGAAAGCGGGGGAUCGUAAGACCUCGCGCUGAUGGAUGAGCCCAUGUCGGAUUAGCUAGUGGUGAGGUAACGGCUCACCAAGGCGACGAUCCGUAGCUGGUCUGAGAGGACGGCCAGCCACACUGGGACUGAGACACGGCCCAGACUCCUACGGGAGGCAGCAGUGGGGAAUAUUGGACAAUGGGGAAACCCUGAUCCAGCGACGCCGCGUGUGUGAAGAAGGCCUGC